UGGGGAAUAUUGCACAAUGGGGGAAACCCUGAUGCAGCGACGCCGCGUGAACGAAGAAGGUAUUCGUAUCGUAAAGUUCUGUCCUAUGGGAAGAUAAUGACAGUACCAUAGAAGAAAGCUCCGGCUAAAUACGUGCCAGCAGCCGCGGUAAUACGUAUGGAGCGAGCGUUGUCCGGAAUUAUUGGGCGUAAAGGGUACGCAGGCGGUUUAAUAAGUCGAAUGUUAAAGAUCGGGGCUCAACCCCGUAAAGCAUUGGAAACUGAUAAACUUGAGUAGUGGAGAGGAAAGUGGAAUUCCUAGUGUAGUGGUGAAAUACGUAGAUAUUAGGAGGAAUACCAGUAGCGAAGGCGACUUUCUGGGCACAAACUGACGCUGAGGUACGAAAGCGUGGGGAGCAAACAGG
RNAcentral lists this ribosomal RNA (403 nucleotides) under bacterium. Its description in RNAcentral is "partial 16S ribosomal RNA". It matches the Rfam family "Bacterial small subunit ribosomal RNA", at positions 355 to 776 of the family's 1533-position model. The record is from RNAcentral.